RNAcentral lists this ribosomal RNA (500 nucleotides) under uncultured bacterium. RNAcentral's name for it is "partial 16S ribosomal RNA". It matches the Rfam family "Bacterial small subunit ribosomal RNA", at positions 30 to 523 of the family's 1533-position model. The record is from RNAcentral.
AUUGAACGCUGGCGGCAUGCCUUACACAUGCAAGUCGAACGGCAGCACGGGAGCAAUCCUGGUGGCGAGUGGCGAACGGGUGAGUAAUGUAUCGGAACGUGCCCAGUCGUGGGGGAUAACGUAGCGAAAGCUACGCUAAUACCGCAUACGAUCUACGGAUGAAAGCGGGGGAUCGCAAGACCUCGCGCGAUUGGAGCGGCCGAUAUCAGAUUAGGUAGUUGGUGGGGUAAAGGCUCACCAAGCCGACGAUCUGUAGCUGGUCUGAGAGGACGACCAGCCACACUGGGACUGAGACACGGCCCAGACUCCUACGGGAGGCAGCAGUGGGGAAUUUUGGACAAUGGGCGAAAGCCUGAUCCAGCAAUGCCGCGUGCAGGAUGAAGGCCUUCGGGUUGUAAACUGCCUUUGUACGGAACGAAACGGCGAACUCUAAUACAGUUUGCUAAUGACGGUACCGUAAGAAUAAGCACCGGCUAACUACGUGCCAGCAGCCGCCGUAA